This 395-nucleotide ribosomal RNA is filed under the name uncultured bacterium. Its description in RNAcentral is "bacterial SSU rRNA". It matches the Rfam family "Bacterial small subunit ribosomal RNA", at positions 521 to 916 of the family's 1533-position model. The record is from RNAcentral.
UAAUACGUAGGGUGCGAGCGUUAAUCGGAAUUACUGGGCGUAAAGCGUGCGCAGGCGGUUUUGUAAGACAGAGGUGAAAUCCCCGGGCUCAACCUGGGAACUGCCUUUGUGACUGCAAGGCUGGAGUGCGGCAGAGGGGGAUGGAAUUCCGCGUGUAGCAGUGAAAUGCGUAGAUAUGCGGAGGAACACCGAUGGCGAAGGCAAUCCCCUGGGCCUGCACUGACGCUCAUGCACGAAAGCGUGGGGAGCAAACAGGAUUAGAUACCCUGGUAGUCCACGCCCUAAACGAUGUCAACUGGUUGUUGGGUCUUAAUUGACUCAGUAACGAAGCUAACGCGUGAAGUUGACCGCCUGGGGAGUACGGCCGCAAGGUUGAAACUCAAAUGAAUUGACGG